Molecule: long non-coding RNA, 1195 nt
Filed under: Mus musculus (house mouse)
Lineage: Eukaryota; Metazoa; Chordata; Mammalia; Rodentia; Muridae
Description: distal-less homeobox 6, opposite strand 1
Rfam family: Embryonic ventral forebrain-2 long ncRNA (bases 1-142)
Source: RNAcentral
UCACACCUGGAUGUGCUCACUCAACCAAGAAUAUAGAGACAGAGCCUCUGCCCUGAGACUCAGAGAAACGCUCUCCUGUGCCUCCCUCCGCUCAGUAUAGAUUUCUAGACCCUGAUCAUUGCUUAAGAGAUAUUCACCGGGAACCAGAGAGAAACCUACGCCCAGAAGAACAUGUCCCUGGAUUGCUUUCCCACUGCUGUGGAGUGUCUUGAACACUGGUCCCUGGACACCAACUUCAAGAAGACUUCAUGGAUGGCUGUCCAGUCUUAUGAGCCACAGUUUCCCCUCUACAUUUUCUUCACUCCAGCGAGGCUCUUAUCAGGGUCAGAUCAGAGAUGAACCAGCUGGACGACAGAUUGGAGCGCUGACCUCUUAGAGUGCUAACAGUGAACAGUGUGGGGUCAGAUCUAUAGAAAGAUAAUAAUAAGAAAACACCCUAUAUGCAAGGGAGAGGGAUGGUUCAUAAUUUCUUAAAGAUUGAAAUCAAGGAACAAUCAAAAUAUAGAAGAAUGUGGACGUGUUUUGCUGCAGGACUUCUGUUUUGUCCCCAUUGGAAUAUGUAUUAUGGUAUUCCUGUUGGAUCAGGACUCAGGGGCAAGGCUAAGCAUUCCAGUGGUCCUCCUACUUAGCUCUUGUCCUUUCGUAAGAAACACCAACUCAUUAGUCUCUAUAUUACUUCUCUGUACUGUAGAUCUGCAUUCUUGAUCUGAGAGAUAUUGGCAAUGACACUCUUGUAUGAUAAAGCUCAAUGAUAAGAGUACUUCAAACCCCCUUGAACUUUUUGUUUAUACAUCAAGUGGUGACAUUGUGUAUUGAGCUAAUUAGAUCAAUGGAGUCACAGGGUGAUACUGAACUCUUUUAAAAUAUUUGGCUGAAACAUGACAUUGUAGUUAUUUGUAGAAGAGAACAUUAUGGAAUAUGAAAAACAUCACAGAACACAGAACUAGCAGCAGAAACUAGCAGCAGUUCAGUCGAGGAAUAGCUUCCUCCAGGUGGUCUAUACCUAUCGCCAGUUUACAGAAAAAGGAAGCCAGGUGGAUGGAAAACGUGUGCCAAGUUUCUGUGCUUACAAUCCACUAAACUCAUUCUCAUAUGAGGACUUUAUAUACCUGUGAUGGAGUGGGAAAAUCAAUAACCUGGAAAAAAUGAGUACCAUUUUCCAAAGAAGUUCAAUAAAGAGAUGGAAUUUGGGAAA